GGUAAGGGACUUUCACAUUGCAAAGAGAGAGGAAGAUAUUGGUUCCUAUGCAGGUUAUAUAGGUUCUGCAUUUAUGUUUGGAAGAACUUUAACAUCUGCCUUUUGGGGUGUUGUGGCUGACCGUUAUGGACGAAAACCAGUUAUAAUUUUCGGCACUUCUAUAGUGGUUGUUUUCAAUACUCUUUUUGGUCUUAGUACCAACUUUUGGAUGGCUGUUGUAACAAGAUUUCUUCAUGGUAGUUUAAAUGGUUUGCUUGGACCAAUAAAGG
Long non-coding RNA from Solanum pennellii, 269 nucleotides. RefSeq lists it as uncharacterized. The transcript is spliced from 3 exons. Lineage: Eukaryota; Viridiplantae; Streptophyta; Magnoliopsida; Solanales; Solanaceae. The record is from RefSeq and is a predicted model, not a curated record.